AUGAAGAGGGGCAGGGAGAGAUUUGGGGAAACUCUGCUUCAGCUGUGGGCACAGGAGGCAGCACUCAGGACAGUCUCCAGCAUGGCCUGGUCUCCUCUCCUCCUCACUCUCCUCGCUCACUGCACAGGCUCCUGGGCCCAGUCUGUGCUGAUGCAGCCGCCCUCAGUGUCUGGGGCGCCCGGGCAGAGGGUCACCAUCUCCUGCACUGGGAGCAGCUCCAACAUCGGGGCAGGGUUAUGAUGUGCAGUGGUACCAGCAGCUCCCAGGAACAGCCCCCAAACUCCUCAUCUAUGACAAUAAUAAGCGACCCUCAGGGGUUUCUGACCGAUUCUCUGGCUCCAAGUCUGGUACCUCAGCCUCCCUGGCCAUCACUGGACUCCAGUCUGAGGAUGAGGCUGAUUAUUACUGCCAGUCCUAUGACAGCAGCCUGAGUGCUCGUACAGUGCUCCAGGCCCGGGGGAAACUGAGACAAGAACCCCCUUCCUCCUCUACCAGGAGGGUGAGCACUCAGCUAAUGCUGCUCAGGCGUGGCCUGUGGCUUCUGCUGCUGCAGCUUCCCCCAUGGUCCAGGGGUAUCCAGGGCCCUGCUUCAGAGUAG
Rhinopithecus roxellana (golden snub-nosed monkey) is the source of this 598-nucleotide non-coding RNA. Lineage: Eukaryota; Metazoa; Chordata; Mammalia; Primates; Cercopithecidae. The record is from the annotation of a RefSeq genome assembly.